GGUUAAGUGACUAAGCGUACACGGUGGAUGCCUUGGCAGUCAGAGGCGAUGAAAGACGUAGUAACUUGCGAUAAGCCCAGAUUAGGUAGUAACAACCAUUUGAGUCUGGGAUUUCUGAAUGGGGAAACCCACUUACAUAAGUAAGUAUCAUUAACUGAAUACAUAGGUUAAUGAGGCGAACCGGGGGAACUGAAACAUCUAAGUACCCCGAGGAAAAGAAAUCAACCGAGAUUCCGAAAGUAGCGGCGAGCGAAAUUGGACUAGCCCUUAAGCUUUACACGCGUUAGACGAACGGUCUGGAAAGUCCGACGAUACAGGGUGAUAGUCCCGUAGUUGACGACGUGUGUUCAGUGAAAUCGAGUAGGGCGGGACACGUGAUAUCCUGUCUGAAUAUGGGGGGACCAUCCUCCAAGGCUAAAUACUACUGACUGACCGAUAGUGAACCAGUACCGUGAGGGAAAGGCGAAAAGAACCCCUGUGAGGGGAGUGAAAUAGAACCUGAAACCGUGUACGUACAAGCAGUAGGAGCAGGCUUUGUCCUGUGACUGCGUACCUUUUGUAUAAUGGGUCAGCGACUUAUAUUCAGUGGCAAGGUUAACCAUCUAGGGGAGCCGUAGGGAAACCGAGUCUUAACUGGGCGUUCAGUCUCUGGAUAUAGACCCGAAACCAGGUGAUCUAGCCAUGGGCAGGUUGAAGGUUGAGUAACAUCAACUGGAGGACCGAACCGACUAAUGUUGAAAAAUUAGCGGAUGACUUGUGGCUAGGGGUGAAAGGCCAAUCAAACCUGGAGAUAGCUGGUUCUCCCCGAAAGCUAUUUAGGUAGCGCCUCGGACGAAUACUACUGGGGGUAGAGCACUGUUAAGGCUAGGGGGUCAUCCCGACUUACCAACCCUUUGCAAACUCCGAAUACCAGUAAGUACUAUCCGGGAGACACACGGCGGGUGCUAACGUCCGUCGUGGAGAGGGAAACAACCCAGACCGCCAGCUAAGGUCCCAAAUUACUACUAAGUGGGAAACGAUGUGGGAAGGCUCAGACAGCCAGGAUGUUGGCUUAGAAGCAGCCAUCAUUUAAAGAAAGCGUAAUAGCUCACUGGUCGAGUCGGCCUGCGCGGAAGAUGUAACGGGGCUAAGUAGUAAACCGAAGCUGCGGCAAUAUACUUUUGUAUAUUGGGUAGGGGAGCGUUCUGUAAGCGGUUGAAGGUGUGUGGUAACGCAUGCUGGACGUAUCAGAAGUGCGAAUGCUGACAUGAGUAACGAUAAAGGGGGUGAAAAACCUCCUCGCCGGAAGACCAAGGGUUCCUGUCCAACGUUAAUCGGGGCAGGGUAAGUCGACCCCUAAGGCGAGGCCGAAAGGCGUAGUCGAUGGGAAACGGGUUAAUAUUCCCGUACUUCUUACAAUUGCGAUGGGGGGACGGAGAAGGCUAGGUGGGCCUGGCGACGGUUGUCCAGGUUCAAGUGCGUAGGCUUAAGAGUUAGGUAAAUCCGGCUCUUUUUAAGGCUGAGACACGACGUCGAGCACCUACGG
RNAcentral lists this ribosomal RNA (1525 nucleotides) under Vibrio parahaemolyticus. Its description in RNAcentral is "partial 23S ribosomal RNA". It matches the Rfam family "Bacterial large subunit ribosomal RNA", at positions 1 to 1582 of the family's 2925-position model. The record is from RNAcentral. Lineage: Bacteria; Pseudomonadati; Pseudomonadota; Gammaproteobacteria; Vibrionales; Vibrionaceae.